RNAcentral lists this ribosomal RNA (478 nucleotides) under uncultured bacterium. Its description in RNAcentral is "partial 16S ribosomal RNA". It matches the Rfam family "Bacterial small subunit ribosomal RNA", at positions 28 to 507 of the family's 1533-position model. The record is from RNAcentral.
GACGAACGCUGGCGGCGUGCUUAACACAUGCAAGUCGAACGUGAUUUUUGUGGAAAUUCUUUCGGGAAUGGAAAUGAAAUGAAAGUGGCGAACGGGUGAGUAACACGUGAGCAACCUACCUUACACAGGGGGAUAGCCGUUGGAAACGACGAUUAAUACCGCAUGAGACCACAGAAUCGCAUGAUAUAGGGGUCAAAGAUUUAUCGGUGUAAGAAGGGCUCGCGUCUGAUUAGCUAGUUGGAAGGGUAAAGGCCUACCAAGGCGACGAUCAGUAGCCGGUCUGAGAGGAUGAACGGCCACAUUGGAACUGAGACACGGUCCAAACUCCUACGGGAGGCAGCAGUGGGGAAUAUUGCACAAUGGGGGGAACCCUGAUGCAGCGACGCCGCGUGAGCGAAGAAGGUUUUCGAAUCGUAAAGCUCUGUCCUAUGAGAAGAUAAUGACGGUAUCAUAGGAAGAAGCCCCGGCUAAAUACGUG